RNAcentral lists this ribosomal RNA (465 nucleotides) under Vreelandella stevensii. RNAcentral describes it as "partial 16S ribosomal RNA". It matches the Rfam family "Bacterial small subunit ribosomal RNA", at positions 338 to 795 of the family's 1533-position model. The record is from RNAcentral. Lineage: Bacteria; Pseudomonadati; Pseudomonadota; Gammaproteobacteria; Oceanospirillales; Halomonadaceae.
CCUACGGGUGGCAGCAGUGGGGAAUAUUGGACAAUGGGGGCAACCCUGAUCCAGCCAUGCCGCGUGUGUGAAGAAGGCCCUCGGGUUGUAAAGCACUUUCAGUGAGGAAGAACGCCUGGUGGUUAAUACCCAUCAGGAAAGACAUCACUCACAGAAGAAGCACCGGCUAACUCCGUCCCAGCAGCCGCGGUAAUACGGAGGGUGCGAGCGUUAAUCGGAAUUACUGGGCGUAAAGCGCGCGUAGGUGGCUUGAUAAGCCGGUUGUGAAAGCCCCGGGCUCAACCUGGGAACGGCAUCCGGAACUGUCAAGCUAGAGUGCAGGAGAGGAAGGUAGAAUUCCCGGUGUAGCGGUGAAAUGCGUAGAGAUCGGGAGGAAUACCAGUGGCGAAGGCGGCCUUCUGGACUGACACUGACACUGAGGUGCGAAAGCGUGGGUAGCAAACAGGAUUAGAUACCCCAGUAGUC